Unclassified non-coding RNA from Pongo abelii (Sumatran orangutan), 148 nucleotides. It matches the Rfam family "Metazoan signal recognition particle RNA". From Rfam's summary of the family: The signal recognition particle (SRP) is a universally conserved ribonucleoprotein. It is involved in the co-translational targeting of proteins to membranes. The record is from Ensembl. Lineage: Eukaryota; Metazoa; Chordata; Mammalia; Primates; Hominidae.
GCUGGGUGUGGUGGCAUGCACCUGUAGUCCCAGCUACUUCGGAGGCUGAGGUGGGAGGAUUGCUUGAGCCCAGGAGUUCGAGGCUGCAGUGAGCAGAGAUCAUGCCACUGCACUCCAGCCUGGGUGACAGAGUGAGACCCUGUCUCAA